This 85-nucleotide transfer RNA is filed under the name Drosophila persimilis. RNAcentral's name for it is "tRNA-Gln". The record is from RNAcentral. Lineage: Eukaryota; Metazoa; Arthropoda; Insecta; Diptera; Drosophilidae.
CGCUUGCUUGGGGCCUUGGCUGUGGCCUUGCCAGCUUUGGCUGGCUGGUAGUCGGGCAGGAUUCGAUUCCCUGGGCAGACGCCAG